Molecule: ribosomal RNA, 301 nt
Filed under: uncultured bacterium
Lineage: Bacteria
Description: partial 16S ribosomal RNA
Rfam family: Bacterial small subunit ribosomal RNA
Source: RNAcentral
CAGCCGCCGCGGUAAUACGUAGGGUGCAAGCGUUAAUCGGAAUUACUGGGCGUAAAGCGUGCGCAGGCGGUUAUAUAAGACAGAUGUGAAAUCCCCGGGCUCAACCUGGGAACUGCAUUUGUGACUGUAUAGCUAGAGUACGGCAGAGGGGGAUGGAAUUCCACGUGUAGCAGUGAAAUGCGUAGAUAUGCGGAGGAACACCGAUGGCGAAGGCAAUCCCCUGGGCCUGUACUGACGCUCAUGCACGAAAGCGUGGGGAGCAAACAGGAUUAGAUACCCGUGUAGUCCCUGUCUCUUAUAC